AAGAGGCUGUGAGUUUAAUUUUCAGGAGCACUUUGCCCCGAGGGAGAAUAGCUUUCAGAUGACAGUUUGCUCUCACCAGUUCAUUAUGACAUGAGAGAAAAUCCCUGGACUUCAGUGUCACUCUUUAACUGAUAGAGGGUGUGUCCACUGAAGGUCAGCUGUCUCUGUCCUCUUCAGGAAUUUAUUCACAAUGCUCCUAAAGCUACCAUGACGUCACCCAUUGGUUUGUGGACUCCUGUUUUGGAGCCUGGACUUCAGCAUUUCGG
Non-coding RNA from Epinephelus lanceolatus (giant grouper), 266 nucleotides. The record is from RefSeq and is a predicted model, not a curated record. Lineage: Eukaryota; Metazoa; Chordata; Actinopteri; Perciformes; Serranidae.